GGGCCCGCACAAGCGGUGGAGCAUGUGGUUUAAUUCGAUGAUACGCGAGGAACCUUACCAGGGCUUAAAUGUAGUGGGACAGGUCUAGAGAUAGACCCUUCUUCGGACUCAUUACAAGGUGCUGCAUGGUUGUCGUCAGCUCGUGCCGUGAGGUGUCAGGUUAAGUCCUAUAACGAGCGCAACCCCUAUCGUUAGUUGCCAGCGAGUAAUGUCGGGAACUCUAACGAAACUGCCAGUGCAAACUGUGAGGAAGGUGGGGAUGACGUCAAAUCAUCACGGCCCUUACGUCCUGGGCUACACACGUGCUACAAUGGCCGGUACAGAGAGCAGCCACUUCGCGAGGGGGAGCCAAUCCGACAAACCUAGUCGUAGUCCGGAUCGGAGUCUGCAACUCGACUCCGUG
RNAcentral lists this ribosomal RNA (403 nucleotides) under uncultured bacterium. Its description in RNAcentral is "bacterial SSU rRNA". It matches the Rfam family "Bacterial small subunit ribosomal RNA", at positions 917 to 1322 of the family's 1533-position model. The record is from RNAcentral.